CAGUCGCCGCGGUAAUACGUAGGGUGCAAGCGUUAAUCGGAAUUACUGGGCGUAAAGCGUGCGCAGGCGGUUUGUUAAGACAGAUGUGAAAUCCCCGGGCUCAACCUGGGAACUGCAUUUGUGACUGGCAAGCUAGAGUCUGGCAGAGGGGGGUGGAAUUCCGCGUGUAGCAGUGAAAUGCGUAGAUAUGCGGAGGAACACCGAUGGCGAAGGCAGCCCCCUGGGCCAACACUGACGCUCAUGCACGAAAGCGUGGGGAGCAAACAGGAUUAGAUACCCCUGUAGUCCCUGUCUCUUAUAC
RNAcentral lists this ribosomal RNA (301 nucleotides) under uncultured bacterium. RNAcentral's name for it is "partial 16S ribosomal RNA". It matches the Rfam family "Bacterial small subunit ribosomal RNA", at positions 509 to 807 of the family's 1533-position model. The record is from RNAcentral.